UCUCUAUGAUGAUCCCUUCAAGAAUUCUGCAAUUCUGACAAUCUCCUACCAUUGUGAGAUUGCGUGUUGACAUUCUACACUUGAUCUGAUU
This 91-nucleotide small nucleolar RNA is filed under the name Aspergillus ustus. RNAcentral's name for it is "A. fumigatus snoRNA Afu_191". It matches the Rfam family "A. fumigatus snoRNA Afu_191". The record is from Rfam by way of RNAcentral. Lineage: Eukaryota; Fungi; Ascomycota; Eurotiomycetes; Eurotiales; Aspergillaceae.